RNAcentral lists this ribosomal RNA (304 nucleotides) under uncultured bacterium. Its description in RNAcentral is "partial 16S ribosomal RNA". It matches the Rfam family "Bacterial small subunit ribosomal RNA", at positions 509 to 807 of the family's 1533-position model. The record is from RNAcentral.
CAGCAGUCGCCGCGGGAACACGAAGGGGGCUAGCGUUGUUCGGAUUUACUGGGCGUAAAGCGCACGUAGGCGGACUUUUAAGUCAGGGGUGAAAUCCCGGGGCUCAACCCCGGAACUGCCUUUGAUACUGGGAGUCUUGAGUUCGAGAGAGGUGAGUGGAAUUGCGAGUGUAGAGGUGAAAUUCGUAGAUAUUCGCAGGAACACCAGUGGCGAAGGCGGCUCACUGGCUCGAUACUAACGCUGAGGUGCGAAAGCGUGGGGAGCAAACAGGAUUAGAUACCCCUGUAGUCCCUGUCUCUUAUAC